UACGAAGGGGGCGAGCGUUGUUCGGAAUUACUGGGCGUAAAGGGCGCGUAGGCGGAUGUUUAAGUCGGGGGUGAAAGCCCAGGGCUCAACCCUGGAAUUGCCUUCGAUACUGGACAUCUUGAGUGCGGGAGAGGUGAGUGGAACUCCGAGUGUAGAGGUGAAAUUCGUAGAUAUUCGGAAGAACACCAGUGGCGAAGGCGACUCACUGGCCCGUUACUGACGCUGAUGCGCGAAAGCGUGGGGAGCAAACAGG
This 253-nucleotide ribosomal RNA is filed under the name uncultured bacterium. RNAcentral describes it as "partial 16S ribosomal RNA". It matches the Rfam family "Bacterial small subunit ribosomal RNA", at positions 524 to 776 of the family's 1533-position model. The record is from RNAcentral.